Molecule: ribosomal RNA, 432 nt
Filed under: Salmonella enterica subsp. enterica serovar Enteritidis
Lineage: Bacteria; Pseudomonadati; Pseudomonadota; Gammaproteobacteria; Enterobacterales; Enterobacteriaceae
Description: partial 23S ribosomal RNA
Rfam family: Bacterial large subunit ribosomal RNA
Source: RNAcentral
GUAGAGGAGCGUUCUGUAAGCCUGUGAAGGUGAGUUGAGAAGCUUGCUGGAGGUAUCAGAAGUGCGAAUGCUGACAUGAGUAACGACAAUGCGAGUGAAAAACUCGCACGCCGAAAGACCAAGGGUUCCUGCGCAACGUUAAUCGACGCAGGGUGAGUCGGUCCCUAAGGCGAGGCUGAAAGGCGUAGUCGAUGGGAAACGGGUUAAUAUUCCCGUACUUCUAGUUACUGCGAUGGGGGGACGGAGAAGGCUAGGCCAGCUUGGCGUUGGUUGUCCAAGUUUAAGGUGGUAGGCUGACUGUUUAGGUAAAUCCGGACAGUUAAGGCCGAGAGCUGAUGACGAUCCUUCUUUUAGAAGGAGAAGUGGUUGAUGCCAUGCUUCCAGGAAAAGCCUCUAAGCUUCAGGUAACUAGGAACCGUACCCCAAACCGAC